GUGGGGAAUAUUGGACAAUGGGCGAAAGCCUGAUCCAGCAAUGCCGCGUGAGUGAUGAAGGCCUUAGGGUUGUAAAGCUCUUUUACCCGGGAUGAUAAUGACAGUACCGGGAGAAUAAGCUCCGGCUAACUCCGUGCCAGCAGCCGCGGUAAUACGGAGGGAGCUAGCGUUGUUCGGAAUUACUGGGCGUAAAGUGCACGUAGGCGGCUUUGUAAGUUAGAGGUGAAAGCCUGGAGCUUAACUCCAGAACUGCCUUUAAGACUGCAUCGCUUGAAUCCAGGAGAGGUGAGUGGAAUUCCGAGUGUAGAGGUGAAAUUCGUAGAUAUUCGGAAGAACACCAGUGGCGAAGGCGGCUCACUGGACUGGUAUUGACGCUGAGGUGCGAAAGCGUGGGGAGCAAACAGGAUUAGAAACCCCGGUAGUCC
Molecule: ribosomal RNA, 425 nt
Filed under: uncultured bacterium
Lineage: Bacteria
Description: partial 16S ribosomal RNA
Rfam family: Bacterial small subunit ribosomal RNA
Source: RNAcentral